GACGAACGCUGGCGGCGUGCUUAACACAUGCAAGUCGAACGGAAAGGCCCUGCUUUUGUGGGGUGCUCGAGUGGCGAACGGGUGAGUAACACGUGAGUAACCUGCCCUUGACUUUCGGAUAACUUCAGGAAACUGGGGCUAAUACCGGACAGCAGCCCCCCCUGCAUGGUGGGGGUUGGAAAGUUUCGGCGGUUGGGGAUGGAUUCGCGGCUUAUCAGCUUGUUAGUGGGGUAGUGGCUUACCCAGGCUUUGACGGGUAGCCGGCCUGAGAGGGUGACCGGCCACAAUGGGACUGAGGGACGGCGCAGACUCCUACAGGGGGCAGCAGUGGGGAGUAUUGCACAAUGGGAGGGAGCCUGAUACAGCAACGCCGGGGGCGGGAUGACGGCCUUCGGGGUGUAAACCGCUUUCGCCUGUGACGAAGCGUGAGUGACGGUAAUGGGUAAAGAAGCACCGGCUAACUACGUG
This 468-nucleotide ribosomal RNA is filed under the name uncultured bacterium. RNAcentral's name for it is "partial 16S ribosomal RNA". It matches the Rfam family "Bacterial small subunit ribosomal RNA", at positions 28 to 507 of the family's 1533-position model. The record is from RNAcentral.